CCCCCCGACUUGAGAGGUACGUCUCGCUGCUCGUGGUAAGGAUUUCUGAGAGAAGGGGUGCGGGGGGAACCCCAGCCCCCAGAAAGCUGCAGUUAACACCAUUUGCCUCAAUGGGUUAAAAAUAACCUGCCCAGGCUGCUGGAAAGCUGAGAGGGAACCUCAGCCAGCGCGGCUAGCGUUUCCCUUAAGGGAGGGACAAAGAUCGUGUUGGUCUUAAAUCCCAGGAAUUAAAUAGCCCCCUUCCCGCUCCCGCUGACUGCAAUUGACAAGACACACACCCGGCAGCUUUAGGACACAGGUCCGCUGUGAACACGAAAAGCGGAAGCCGAGCGGAGAAGGAACCGGAGUCACCCCGGAUUAGCGAGAAAAGCUCCUUUGGAUGGUUCGCCCGCCGCGGCUCCUCCGGCGGAAGACGGGGACCGGGGCUGCUGCUGCUGGGUGCGGAUAACUCCUGGCUCUGCCUCCACGCUUCACUUUAGGGUCUUCUGCUCCCAGGUCCCUUCGUCUCCCGUGUGAUCGCGGUCGGCUUCUCGGCUCCAGCGCGGCUGGUUCGUUUGGGUUUUUUUCCUCCUCUCCAGUGCUGGGAUCGAGAUUCUCCACCCCCACCCCCUUCCCCGGACCCGGAGAUCCCUCUUCUCUGCAGCCGCUGGAGAUCGGUUUUCCUUUUUGCAGGGGACACAAACAAGGAUCAUGCAAAAAUAAAUAAAUAAAUAAAAUUCA
Long non-coding RNA from Caretta caretta (loggerhead turtle), 720 nucleotides. RefSeq lists it as uncharacterized. Lineage: Eukaryota; Metazoa; Chordata; Testudines; Cheloniidae. The record is from RefSeq and is a predicted model, not a curated record.